RNAcentral lists this ribosomal RNA (492 nucleotides) under uncultured bacterium. Its description in RNAcentral is "partial 16S ribosomal RNA". It matches the Rfam family "Bacterial small subunit ribosomal RNA", at positions 29 to 507 of the family's 1533-position model. The record is from RNAcentral.
AGUGAACGCUGGCGGUAGGCCUAACACAUGCAAGUCGAACGGCAGCACAGUAAGAGCUUGCUCUUACGGGUGGCGAGUGGCGGACGGGUGAGGAAUACAUCGGAAUCUACUUUUUCGUGGGGGAUAACGUAGGGAAAUUUACGCUAAUACCGCAUACGACCUACGGGUGAAAGCAGGGGAUCUUCGGACCUUUCGCGAUUGAAUGAGCCGAUGUCGGAUUAGCUAGUUGGCGGGGUAAAGGCCCACCAAGGCGACGAUCCGUAGCUGGUCUGAGAGGAUGAUCAGCCACACUGGAACUGAGACACGGUCCAGACUCCUACGGGAGGCAGCAGUGGGGAAUAUUGGACAAUGGGCGAAAGCCUGAUCCAGCCAUACCGCGUGGGUGAAGAAGGCCUUCGGGUUGUAAAGCCCUUUUGUUGGGAAAGAAAAGCAGCAGGUUAAUACCCCGCUGUUCUGACGGUACCCAAAGAAUAAGCACCGGCUAACUUCGUG